RNAcentral lists this ribosomal RNA (837 nucleotides) under uncultured bacterium. RNAcentral's name for it is "bacterial SSU rRNA". It matches the Rfam family "Bacterial small subunit ribosomal RNA", at positions 28 to 896 of the family's 1533-position model. The record is from RNAcentral.
AAUCAACGCUGGCGGCGUGCCUAACACAUGCAAGUCGCACGAGAAAGGGACUUCGGUCCUGAGUACAGUGGCGCACGGGUGAGUAACACGUGAAUCAUCUACCUUCGAGUGGGGAAUAACUGAGAGAAAUCUUAGCUAAUACCGCAUAAUACCUACGGGUCAAAGCAGCAAUGCGCUUGAAGAGGAGUUCGCGGCAGAUUAGUUAGUUGGCGGGGUAAUGGCCCACCAAGACGAUGAUCUGUAUCCGGCCUGAGAGGGCGCACGGACACACUGGAACUGAAACACGGUCCAGACUCCUACGGGAGGCAGCAGUGGGGAAUUUUGCGCAAUGGGGGAAACCCUGACGCAGCAACGCCGCGUGGAGGAUGAAAUCCCUUGGGAUGUAAACUCCUUUCGAUAGGGAAGAUAGUGACGGUACCUAUAGAAGAAGCCCCGGCUAACUUCGUGCCAGCAGCCGCGGUAAUACGAGGGGGGCAAGCGUUGUUCGGAAUUAUUGGGCGUAAAGGGUGCGUAGGCGGUUUGACAAGUCUUAUGUGAAAUCUUCGGGCUCAACCCGAAGUCUGCAUAGGAAACUGUCGGGCUUGAGUAUGGGAGAGGUGAGUGGAAUUUCCGGUGUAGCGGUGAAAUGCGUAGAUAUCGGAAGGAACACCUGUGGCGAAAGCGGCUCACUGGACCAUAACUGACGCUGAUGCACGAAAGCUAGGGGAGCAAACAGGAUUAGAUACCCUGGUAGUCCUAGCCCUAAACGAUGAUUGUUUGAUGUGGGGGGUACCCAAUCCUCCCGUGUCGAAGCUAACGCGAUAAACAAUCCGCCUGGGGAGUACGGUCGCAAGGCUG